UUUUCACCUAUCGAAAUAUAGAAUCUUCACAAGACACAACGAGACGCUAUUGGCAACAAAAUGUUUAUGAUGAAAAUGAUUACAUUAAUAACUAUUUUCUUAUUGAUUGGUCUCAAUGCUAGUGUAGACGCUGCUGAUUGUCCCGGCGCUGAAACUUGUUGGUGUCACCCCUCGCAGGGUACCGAGUGCAAUCCAGGCUUAGAAUGUGAUCUUGGACGUUAUUUCCAAGGAAAUUGCAUACCUAUACAGCCAGAUGAUAUUCUGGCAAUUGCAACAUAUGGAGGAUAAUUAUGAUCCGCCAAGAAACAGAUUUUAUUCGUCAAAAAAUGCGCUAAUUAUGCAUAAAUCGUACACGAAAAGAAAUUUUCUUUGAAAAUUACCGUUAAAUUCACUGGAAUCGUGGGACAUAAUGCGGCGCUUCUAUUUAUUACCAUUUUUGAAAUAAAAAUUACGAAAAAAUUUAUUUAUUUUGUAGUAGACUUCACAAAAUUUACCGAAAACCGAAUAAAAUUUACAGUAGACUACGGUAAAAUUUGUUGAAAAAAAGUUAAAAAUUAUCUCACUUACUGACAAAUGAUUAGGUCGUGCCAUUCGUCCCACGAUUACAGUGAAUUUGACGGUAAUUUUUAAAGAUAAUUUCUUUCCGUGUAGUGAAAAUUUUUUAAAUUAUAAUUAUUACCAUGUAUAUUAGCUGCACAUUCAAAUAAACUAUUAUCGUUCAAUUUAAGUCAACAA
Long non-coding RNA from Microplitis mediator, 735 nucleotides. RefSeq lists it as uncharacterized. The record is from RefSeq and is a predicted model, not a curated record. The transcript has 3 exons. NCBI's taxonomy places the organism in Eukaryota, Metazoa, Arthropoda, Insecta, Hymenoptera, Braconidae.